UAGCCUUGGACGAAUCGGACCAGCUGGUC
Molecule: small RNA, 29 nt
Filed under: Bombyx mori (domestic silkworm)
Lineage: Eukaryota; Metazoa; Arthropoda; Insecta; Lepidoptera; Bombycidae
Description: ovarian small RNA-22399
Source: RNAcentral